GAAGAGAGAACUUCUCUGAAGGCCACAAGCGUAGGAAGUAGACAGAACCCGUCCCCGUUUCUCAGGGAGCCACCCCUCCACCACGGCCUACAUGUUCUACUUCACAGUCCCUGUGCAACAUUGAGAAGACUACUAACGAGUGAUGAUUUUGCCCUGCCUGCCAAAAAUCUAGACUGGGCAGAAUCUCAUAGCAUCUCAGUCUACGGACCUCCUAGGAAGCUGUAAUCAAGGACAGGGGUUGGACAGGAAUGGAAAGGGGGCAGGAAGUGAGUAGGUGACAGUUUCCAGCUGCUGAUGACCAGCAGAGCCCGUGGAGUGACUGCAGGUGACUCCUCGUCUUUCUCAGCCACCCAGACUCUCGGAACUUAGAUCCUGCCACUGCUGACAAGGGCCCAGGGAAGCAAGGAAUGGCAGCUCCAUUAGUUGCGGUGGGAGUGAUUCUCGGUGCUUCUCUGUCCCUUCUUUCCCUGAAGCCGAAGCUUUGGGUCUAGGCCAUCUGCACAGUGAGGCAUCUAGAACCUCUGAAGGACGCUGCAGUAGAGAUCGGACCAUUGGCCUAAGUCAAGGACCGGCAAACAUGCCUCUUCCCUUGGGCUGACGUCACCAGACCAGCCAGUUAAAUUCCCUUCAAAAGGACCAAUGCUGCAGCAUCCUCCACUGCUGUCUUUACUCCUUGGAUGACCAGCUCCCACUGCUCCUUCAAGGCCAGGUGCCAUGUCUACGGGCUCCAUCUCCCUGAAUCCUCAUCAACACCGAUGACAAGGGCGCUGUCAUCCCUCCAACUGUAGGCAGGAGAAAACUGAGACUCAGAAAUGUAAGUGACUCGUUUCCCAUCUGAGUGGAUUGCUCAGGAAAAGAAAAGGAAAUUAGCAUGAAAUUUAGGAGGAAGUAUUGAAUAAAGACUGCGAGCAACGGCUUUCUGCUCAGACAAAUCUGAGCUGGAAGCCUGCCUCUGAGACUUCUGGACUGUGUGAACUUGGGCAAGUCCCUCAGCUGCUCUGAGGCUCACUUUCCCUCCCUACAACGUGAAGAUAAUCCUACUACCCAUUCCAGGCCGCCUGCGUGGCAGCUCACCCGGAAUGUUAUCCAGUCUUCUUCUUGCUAUUAAAUGGUGGUUAUUUUUUCUCUGCCCACGAAUCAGGUAGGCUCAUCAUAUGACUCCCUACAGGGUCAGAUGGUCUUUAAGGUAAAUCUUUUUAAAGCGUCUCUCAAGAUUUCAGCAUAAAAUUGCUCUGGAAAGGCAUUCUUUUUCCAGGUUUGGGAGGUGAUGGUAAAUGACUAAUGGCUGGACCUCAGUCCCGCUAAGUUCCAUUUUAAUCUCUGUGUUUAUCAUCGGUGUUGUUACUCAGUAGCACAACUGAGCCUACCUGGACUUUGCAAAAGGAACAUGAAUAACCCCUUUAUCGAUGACCUAUGGCUGUGUAACCAAACACCUCAAACUUCCUACAAAAAUUAUUAUGGCUUAGGAUUUUGUGGUUCCUCUGCUGGUCUCUCCUGGACUUGCUCCUACGGUUGAGGAAUGGAAUGUCUGGAUAGUCCAAGGUGGGAGUUGGUGCUGCUUAGCCUGGGUUCCUCUGUCUUCCUCUAUACCACCGUUCAUCCUUGGGAGGACUAAUCAGCUUCCUCACAGCAUGGCCGCCUCAAGGCAGCGUUCCAAGAGGACAAGCGUUCAGGUGUAAGCACCUAUCAAGCUUCUGCCUGAGUCAUGUUUGCUCAUAGCCCAUUGGCCAAAGCGAGUAACAUGGCCAAGCUCAGCAUCACGUGGGAGGUGACGUAGACUUUAUCACUUGAUGGGUGAAGUGGAGAAGAAUUUUGGCCAUUUUGAAUCCAUCACAAUUACCAAUAUAAAAUGUUUAAAAAAAUGAAGACAUCCAAAAGAUUUAAUAAGAAUAAAAAGAAUCCAACUCGCAGUACCAGGGGAAACUGCCAAGGAAGCAGAGUGCCAGCUCAAGUCUUCCCCUCUGGCAACCUUUUGAGAGAAGAUGGAGGAUGUCCUGCUCACCUGCUUUGGCCUGGAAAGUCACCCCCCUUCUGGGCCUCGGUUUCGCAUUGGGGACAACUACCGAGCAGCACUCUGUCUCCUGCCUGAGGAACUAAUUUAAACCCGACUUUGCGAUGGUGAAACUCCUCCUGGCUCAGCUGAAGCCUCCUUCUACCUGAGAUCCCAGAUCCUGCAGACCGCAAACCUCUCUGAACUACGGACAGACUUAGAAAGUGAUCAGAGUCCACAGGCUGACUUUCAGGAAGGUCUUGGUGACUUUCCUCUACUCAUGAGCUACACUGGCUACUGGACAAAGGAGGCGGAACCGCUCCCCCUUGUCCGCAGGAGAUCCCGUGCCUUGGGAGGGGCAGGACAGCUUCUCGGUAGAAGGAUCCUGUUCGUGUGUGCAAAAUUGCCCGUCUGCCAGGGUACCUUCCCUCAACAUGUGUGCUUCCUAGGGGUACAAGGUGCAGGGAGUGGGUCUUCUCUGAUCUGCCACUUGGGGCAGUAUAUAAGGGAAUGUCUGGGCUAUACGUAGAAAUUAAAUUAUGCUUUAAGAAAUGAUGAAUAUACCAGGGUUCAUCCUAUUCGACAGAUGUAGAGAUUUUAGCUGUUGUAGAAACCCACUGCCCUAGAUAAAAUACCACUCAGAACUCCAAAGUUAAUGCCCUUUCUUCCUGAGGCUUCUCCUCCCUUAUGGGCUGCUUGGACUCUUUUGGCCCCUUCUGGGGGCUUCUAGAAUACUGAGGUACCAGUGUAGACAUGAGAGUUCCUCCUGGCUCCUGCCAGCACAUCUGAGGUGAGCUAGAACUUUCAAAAGACUGCACUGAACGCAAGGGAAGUCCUUAGGGAGACACAAACAAACAAAUGGUAAGGUGCAUAAAGCAAUAGGAAUCCCAUAAUAUGGGGUUUUUAACCCGACUGUGGCUGGCUGGCAGAUGCAGUCCAUGCCCUUGCUUAUCCUCUCAUCCCCCCAACUGCCUGGGCCAGUUUCCAGAUCUUGCUCAGAAUGGCUGGCCUUACUCUUAGACUCCAGGAAGCCAGCAGACACAGACCUCUCUCAUGCCUCGGUGUAUUCACAGUUAGGGCUGAGAGAAUGUUCUAGCUUUUUUGGCCUUUCCUUCAGCUCUUGUCAGACGUGGCGACUGUCUCAGUGAGCAACUCCACCUUUCCCUUGAGGCCCCAACCCCAUCCAUCUUGCAUGUUGCCUGAUCCCUGAUACAGAGGAAAAAUAUCUCAACCCUGCAGUGACCAUAGACAACUUGACUUCCAGCAUCACUGCCCCGGAACUGUGGCCACAGGGUCCUUCCCACACAGUGACACCACACCAGCACAUUUUGUCAGCUCAGACUAAAAACGGAUCAGGCUUCCUUUACCUGCAAGUAUGUUUUGUCACCUUAUGAACACUAGCUGGCCAGUGCGGUAAAAGAAUUACAGUGCGUGACCUAUUUAGAUGUGUUUAAAUUGGCCUUCGCAUGGGUUUUAGUUACAAUGAUUCUUUUAUUUUUAGCAGGAUUGAGAGAUGAAUGCCUUCUUGCAGAUGAAGGUCACACUUUCUUGCCCUCAUCAGCAAGUAGGGCAGAUGCAAGAACAAUUAGUCAGUUCCUCAGGCAGGAGACAUUCGGCCUCCGAGAAUCAGAUUUUUAGCACACAGCCAGCUCCUCAGUCCCUAUGCUUGGCCUGAGCUGGUGCUGGGGCCUUUAUGAGCUCUUGAUUAAUUCCCUUCCCAUUAGGAUGCUGUAGUUAAUGCUAAACAGGAAUGUGGGGGCUGGAAAAUGAACCAAGAGCAGAGUCAGUCUGGAUUGUAUUUCUGGAUUUCUCUCCAGGUAACCUUGGAAAAAACGUUCACCUCUUUGAGCCCCAGUUCUGCCAUCUGUUGUUGUUUUUAAUGAGAAAAAAAAACCAACCAGUCUACUAAAUCUCACUGCUUUGUACAAAUACUUCCUACAAAAUAUUUUAAACUAGUUCACACUAAAGUGUUGAUGACUCAUCAAUUCAUAGUUCCUCCUGUUUUUAAAGGAAUCUGAAGUAUUCUGAUCUUUCAGUGUCUGGAAUUAUGUGCCAAGCUUAACUCUUUAUAGGCUUAAUCUCAUUGAAGGCUCACAAUAACCCUCUACAGCAGUGGUCGUCAGUCUUUGUGUGCCUCAGAAUCAUCUGGAGGACUUGUAAAUACAAAGAGUUGGGCUGCACCUCCAAAAUUUCUGAUUCGGUAGGUGCAUUUGGAGCAAGGUCCCAGGUGAUGCUGACACUGUGGUUGCGGACCGCACUUCGAGAACCAUUGCUGCGAAGUAUGUGUGCUGUUAUCUCCAUCUUGCAGAUGAGGUCACUAGAAUAGAGAAGAAUUAAGAGCUUUGCUGGAAGUUCCCAACUGGCAGAACAGGGAUUUGCAGCCAGGGUUGACAGGACCCCGGUGACCUUGACCAGGGAACUCCAUGGUCACCAAAGAGGGGACUGAAAAGGAAAAGUAGGGCCAAGACACGAAACAAAUCUUGUCCUUUCAUGAUUUUGCUGGAUACUACAGAAUCCCUAUCUUUCAGAUUUCGCUCCCCCAUGCCCCAUGAUCACCAAGGAGACCUUGACUUCAUUUGAGUCUUUCCAACAAAGAAAAGAGAUUAGAGUUUGCAGGCUAAGCGUUGCUUCAAAGCAAAUUUUCCAGUAGCCUGAACUGAGAACUCCUGAUCUUGCGCAAUGAUUUAAAUUCUGACCCAGCCAUUCAUGAACUGUGUGACCUGGGACAAGUUACCCAGCUGCAUUGUUCUUCAGUGGCUCCAUCUUUAACAUGAGCACCUGUGCCAUAGGUUGUUAUGGGGAUUAAUUGAGACUAAAGACAAUAAUAAGAAAGAGCACGUAAUAAAUGAUGCCGUGACGAUGGCAGCGGUCACUGUCAUGGGUCAGCCCGAUUCACUGUGAAGUAGUCUGCAGGACUGAGCUGGAGAGCUGGCUGACCCAGGACUCACCCCCUGGGGAGGGGGUGAGUUAGAAUUGCUAGAAGGAGACAAGUGGUCUGGGUGGCUGGUGUAGGGAAAGAGAGGCCACCAAAAAUCUAGCCAAAUGCGGUUUCUGAACUGAGAGGAGUUUGAUGUUGGAGAACUAGACAUCUGGACACGAAUCGUAAACUGAGGCCAGAACAUUUGUUGGACUGAAUUAGUCUUCUCUUGUCCUUGGAGGGCAUAAGAACAGAGAGAAGUGCUAUCACUGGCUUCGAAGAACUCGGUGUGGAAAUACUUGAGAACCUGGCAAGGGUGGGGGUUACAUACAGCAGCUCUGCUCCCCACUUACCACCGGGUGAGGGGUGCGGCUCUAGGUCUUUCGCCCUUGUAAUCUCUUGCGUGUGUAAUGUACCAUGGGGAAUCGAUCCGUCCAGGAGAGGGGUCUUGCUUUGAGUCAGCUGAGAGGUUGGAUCCCCGCUGGACUAUUUACUAGCUGUGUUACUUCGAAUGAGUCACUUAGCGUCUUGGAGCUUCGUCCUCUUCGCCUGUUAUAUAGGCAGAGUGACAGCCACACUACGAGGCUGGUGUGAGGAUGAAAUGGAAUCGUGCAGCCAAGAAUCUGGUACAAUCCCUGGCCUAUAAUAGGCCUCUUAAAUGGUCUUUUUUUGCUCCCCUCCCUUCACAUGAUUCUCACACAGUCCUGUGAGGAAGGUUAAGGCAAAUGGCAUUAUCUCCAUUUUUGAGAGAAAGAAACGAAGGCCUAGAAAUGUUAAUGAUUUGCAUAAGGUCACAUAGUUAAAAGAUGGUAUUUCUCAAAUUCUAGCUCUGUGAUGGGUCCUAUGCCAGGAUAAUAAAAUGGGUUUCACUUCAUAGGCCAAAACCAAUUAAUGGGUCCUUUUGCCUAAACUGAAGGAUAGUAAGGCUACUUGAGAUUUGAAGAAAGAACCAGGAUGGUUUAGCCAUGUGUGUCAGGGGCCUGCUGUCGGGGUGGUGACCCCUGGGCAGUGCAGUUGUCACGCAGGUCCUGGGUGAAUUCUUUCCCAGUGAAUUUUGGGGUUGGCAGAAUGACCCUCUCAAAGACCUUCAUAGUCAAAUCACAAUUACCUUAGGUAGCAAAAAGGAUUUUGCAGAUAUAAUUAAGGUUUCCAGGUCUUAAAACAGGGAGAUUAUUCUGGAUUCCCCAGAUAGGACUGAUCAAUCACAUGAGCUCUUAAAAGCAGAAAGUUUUCUCUGGUUGCAGUCAGAGAGAUGUGGCAUAAGGAGAAGUUGGAGAAAUUACAAGCACAGGAGGACCUGACCUGCCCUUGCUGGCUUUGAGGAUGGAAGGUGCCAACAAAAUUUCUCUGUAAGAGCCAGAAAGAAAAUAUUUUUGGCUUUGCAAGACACAGAGUCUCUGUCACGACUACUUUGCCGUUGUAGAGGAAAGUAGCAGUAGACAAUAUGCAGAGAAUGGGUGUGCCUGUGUUCCAAUAACACUUGAUUUACAAAAACAGAUGGUAGGCUGGAUUUGGCCGCAGGCUACCAUUUGCGGAACUUGAUGUUGGCAGCAGUGCUGGUCAGGGAGUUUGUAGGAUGCUCGUUGAUUGGAAUUUGUCUGAUGUUUUUCUUACAAUCAUAUUGGAGUUACAGGUUUGGGGGGAAGAAGAUCACAGAGGUCAAGUGCCACUUACAUGAGGUCAUAUCAAGGGUAUAUACAUACGGCCAACAUGACUUGUUGACCUUGACCACCCAGCUGAAGUAGUGUUGCCAGAUUUGUCUUCUAUAAACGUACUCUUUUUGCUCCCUUUUCCAUACUGUACGCUCUGGAGAAAGUCAUUAUGUGCAGCCCACACAGAAGCAAUGGGAGUUAUGCAAUAUCUCUUGAGUGGAAUAUCUACAUAAUGUGUUCUUAUUCUUGUAUGUAGGAGAUUUGUCUCUUCUUCCCAUUUAUUAACUCAUUUAGUCAUUUAUUUAUAUCCAUAUGGACUCAUGGAAAUUCACUUCAUACUCGGGGUUAGAAUCUAAUGCUCUGCAGUUGAUUUUAUUUUUCAAAUUGUGCCAGCUUUUUGACCAACUUUUAAAUUUUGUCAGUCUGCUGAAUUUGGAACAGUGUCUCAUUGUGGUUUUACUUGACUUUUACCUGAUUAAGAAAGAGCUUGAGGGUCUUUUCAUAAUUUUAUGGGUUUUGUGUGUGUGUUUCCUCUAUCAUGAAAGUCUUAUUCAUGUCUUUCGUUCAACUUUUUUUUUCAUUUUAAAAAUUAGUUUGUGGGAGUUCUAUAACCUGGAUAUUAACCUUUGCAAGUUGUAUCUUCUAUUCGAGGCUUGUCUUUUCACUCCCUUUAUAGUAUCUUUCUCUGAAUAAAAGUUUAUGUUUUAAAGCUUAAAGUUAAUCAGUCUUUUCCUUUGUAUUUUGUGCUUUCUUGUUUUAAAAAUCCCUUCCUGCCACAAGAUCAUAAUGGAAUUCUCAGACACUGUCUUCUGAAUAUUUUAUGGCUUUACCUUUACAAUUAAGUGUUUAGUUAACUUGGAAUAGAUUGUGGGUGUAGUGUGAGGUAGGGAUCCAGCUUCAAUUCUUGUCCCACAUGGAUAACCGAAUACUCCAGGAUCUGUUAAGGAACAGUGUCAUUCGUCCACUCGUCAGCAGUUUUAACUUUGUCAUUAAUUUGCGACCCUUUUUUCCUAUGCCUGAACCAGUACCAGUGUUCCCAUAAUUUCUAUAGCCUUUUCCCUUUCCACCUCUUCCUACUUCCCUUCUUCCUCUUCUUUCUUCUUCCUACCAAGUUCUUCACUUGACCCCUUUUCAGGAAUGUCUGGUUAUUGCCCUUUGCUCUUCCAAAUUCAUUUUAGAAUCACUUUUUCACUUCUCACACACAACUGUGUAUGGAUUUUAAUUGCAAUUGCACUGAAUCUUUGCAUAUAUAUGGGGAGAAUAGUCAAGUUUACAAUAUUGAGUUUUUUUCCCCAAGGACAUUGUGUAUCUCUUCAUUUUCUUUCAUUGUUCUUUAACAGUCUCUCAAUAAAAUUUUAUAAU
Ailuropoda melanoleuca (giant panda) is the source of this 7921-nucleotide long non-coding RNA. RefSeq lists it as uncharacterized. The transcript has 4 exons. The record is from RefSeq and is a predicted model, not a curated record. Lineage: Eukaryota; Metazoa; Chordata; Mammalia; Carnivora; Ursidae.